AAAGAAUCCUCGGGUCCGGAUGGGCAUGCGUGGCAUUAGCUUGUUGGCGGGGUAACGGCCCACCAAGGCGACGAUGCCUAGGGGUUCUGAGAGGAAGGUCCCCCACACUGGUACUGAGACACGGACCAGACUCCUACGGGAGGCAGCAGUGAGGAAUAUUGGUCAAUGGGCGAGAGCCUGAACCAGCCAAGUCGCGUGAGGGACGACGGCCCUACGGGUUGUAAACCUCUUUUGCCGGGGGACAAACGGCGGCACGCGUGCCGUCCUGAGGGUACCCGGAGAAAAAGCAUCGGCUAACUCCGUGCCAGCAGCCGCGGUAAUACGGAGGAUGCGAGCGUUAUCCGGAUUUAUUGGGUUUAAAGGGUGCGUAGGCGGGAUGCCAAGUCAGCGGUCAAAUACGGGGGCUCAACCUGCGUCCGCCGUUGAAACUGGCGUUCUUGAGUGGGCGAGAAGUACGCGGAAUGCGUGGUGUAGCGGUGAAAUGCAUAGAUAUCACGCAGAACCCCGAUUGCGAAGGCAGCGUACCGGCGCCCAACUGACGCUGAAGCACGAAAGCGUGGGUAUCGAACAGGAUUAGAUACCCUGGUAGUCCACGCAGUAAACGAUGAACACUAAUUGUCCGGCGGGGUUUGCCGCUGG
Molecule: ribosomal RNA, 639 nt
Filed under: uncultured bacterium
Lineage: Bacteria
Description: bacterial SSU rRNA
Rfam family: Bacterial small subunit ribosomal RNA
Source: RNAcentral